UAUUUACUAUAAAAAUAAUUUUGUUAAUUUUUUUGUAUUAUUUAAUUUAUUUAUAGUAUUUUUUGAAGUAAUAUAAAUUUAAGAAAUCUGUUAAGGUGUUAUUAAUAGAUUUGUAGGUUUAUUUUUUAGUACCUUUCGUAUCAGGGUGUAUUAAGUAGUUUAAUUAGUUUUUUAUCCCGAAUUAAGAAGUUCAAUUUUCUUAUUGAUUUAUUUGUUUAAUAAAAUUUUAUAAUAAAAUUAAAGUAAUUAGAUGUUAGUCGUUUUUUAUAUAUCUGGUUAUUAAGGAUUUAAUUUAAUUAUAUAUUUUUUUGUAGGUUUUAUUCAUUUAACUUAAAAUGGUAUUUUAUUAUGGAUAAUCUUAAUAAAUUUAUUACAAUAUAAAAUUUUUGGUUUAUAUUUUCUUUUAAAUUUUGUAUUUAGUUUUUAAUAAAUUUUAUCCUGUUAAUAGUUUUUUAUUAUAUUUAAUUUGCUACUUAAUUUUUUUAUACAAUUUUUUUUUUUUUUAAUAAUGAUUUAAUUAGUAUUAUGUUAUAAAUGUUUUAUUAUGAAUUCGACAAAUCUUUAUUUCCAACUGUUUAUCAAAAACAUUUCUUUUUGAUUUUUUGAAAGGUAUUUUCUGCCCUAUGGGAAAAUUGUCUAAAUGGCUGCAGUAUUUUGACUGUGCAAAGGUAGCAUAGUAAAUAGCUUCCUAAUUAGGAGCUUGUAUGAAUGGAUAUAUGAGAAAUAUGUUUUAUUAAUUUUAAUAUUAAAAUUUAAACUGUAAGUUAAAAUGCUUAGUUGAUUUUUUGGGACGAUAAGACCCUAUAGAACUUUAGAUUUUAAAUUUUAAAUAAUUUUUAAUUUACAAUUUUAGUUAGUUUUUAAAUAUUUUUGGCUGGGGUGGUUAGUAAAUUUUAACUUUACUUUUUUUAUUCAUUUAUUUUUGUAAAUAUUAUAUUGAUCCUUAUAAAAGAUUAAAAGUUUAAGUUACCUUAGGGAUAACAGCGUAAUAAUAAUGGGGAGUUCAUAUCUAUAUUAAUUUUUGCGACCUCGAUGUUGAAUUAGGAAAAAUCUAAGAAGCAGCAUUCUUAGAGUUUAGUCUGUUCGACUUAUAAAUUCUUACAUGAUUUGAGUUCAAACCGGUGUAAACCAGGUUGGUUUCUAUCUGAAAACAUAAAAUAUUUGUUUAGUACGAAAGGACCAACAAUAUAGUAUUUUAUAUUUU
RNAcentral lists this ribosomal RNA (1204 nucleotides) under Abrus expansivus. Its description in RNAcentral is "16S ribosomal RNA". Lineage: Eukaryota; Metazoa; Arthropoda; Insecta; Hemiptera; Cicadellidae. The record is from RNAcentral.